GAUGAAGAACGUAGCGAAAUGCGAUAAGUAAUGUGAAUUGCAGAAUUCCGUGAAUCAUCGAAUCUUUGAACGCACAUUGCGCCCCCUGGCAUUCCGGGGGGCAUGCCUGUCCGAGCGUCAUUUCUGCCCUCAAGCACGGCUUGUGUGUUGGGCCUCCGUCCUCCUCCCGGGGGACGGGCCCGAAAGGCAGCGGCGGCACCGCGUCCGGUCCUCGAGCGUAUGGGGCUUCGUCACCCGCUCUUGUAGGCCCGGCCGGCGCUUGCCGACACAUCAAUCUUUUUUCCAGGUUGACCUCGGAUCAGGUAGGGAUACCCGCUGAACUUAAGCAUAUCAAUAAGCGGAGGA
Molecule: unclassified non-coding RNA, 345 nt
Filed under: soil metagenome
Description: partial contains 5.8S ribosomal RNA, internal transcribed spacer 2, and large subunit ribosomal RNA
Rfam family: 5.8S ribosomal RNA (bases 1-120)
Source: RNAcentral